AUGCCAAGCCUAGAGCGAUUUAAGGUUAUCAAAGAAAACAUGGAGAGAGGCUUUAGAAACACUAAUAUGAAGCCUUUGAACCAUUCCACAUACUUGAGACUGCAGCUCUUGUGUAAACGAAUCUAUGACAGUGACGAAAAGUUGUCUGUACUAAAUGAUUUGUCUCUCGAUGAUCUCAACAGCUUUAUUCCUGAAGUCCGUUCUCAGAUAUUUAUUGAGGCUCUAUG
Non-coding RNA from Camelina sativa (false flax), 227 nucleotides. Lineage: Eukaryota; Viridiplantae; Streptophyta; Magnoliopsida; Brassicales; Brassicaceae. The record is from RefSeq and is a predicted model, not a curated record.